GGCCCCUCAUUAGGCUGUGCAGUCUGUGCCCCUCAUUUCUCCUCUCUUAAUUCUUUUAGUACCAGCAGCACUUAGUUGGAUUUCUGAAACAGUCCCUACUAAGUAUUUGGUUUCCCUUAAAAUAAAAUUUGCAGGAAACAAAAACAUAACAUUUAAAUGCCCUCCAGUGAUCUAUCUUCUAAAUUACAGUACACAUUAAUUUUUUACAGAACUUUGUCAAGGAGUUUUAUUUUCUCAUAUCACAUUUCAAGAGGCAAGAGAAAAAGAUUUACUAAAAGCACCAUUAUAAAGGUUUGUCAGCAAAAAUAUGCAUUCGAAAGAACUCGCUCCAAAAAUUGCUCCACUCCCUUUUUUAUUCUUAAAGAUUACCAUGAAAUUGAAAUUUUUGAAAUAUUAGUGAACUUGCAUACUACCUUCAGCCAAGUGGGCAGAGCAUCAGAGGCCCAACACAUAAAUGGGCUAAAAGCGGAUGUUGAAAAAUCACAUUUCAAAUCAGGAGAGGAUCAGGAAAGGGGAAAAUAAAACAAAAACACCUAAAAAGAUACAUAUAAAAAAAAACCUAAAACAAGCAAGAAAACUAAUCCUAAUUGCUAAUGGAAUACAGGAAAAUAAGACCAUUGAAGCAGAUUUAAUUGACUUUCCACAAGUGACACCUCAAAGCAAGUAAGCAAAUCUCGAUGGCUGAGGAAUUUAAGGGCAUGUCAGACAGCCAUCUGUCAAGGAUAAAGCAGGACCUAGAAGAACAGGUCCUGCCUUCAGGCAAGGGAUGGACAAACUGACCUCUCCCUCUCCUUCCUAACCUCAUUUUCUCUGUGAAAUUGGAAUAUGUAACACUUUACCAAAUCUCUAGACUAGUAACAGGUUGGAACACAGGAAACUGAUAAAGCUUCUUCUGAGCCACAUGAUACAGCAGGUUUUGCUUCUGAAUUUCAGUACAGUGUGUCUUUUGUAGACUAAUAAAGAUCUGGAUAGGAAGUAGGGGAAGCAAGGUUAAUUUUUAAGCCCAAGAUCUCUGCAAGCAUCCUUUUCUGUUGGAGUUACCCUGUUUCCAAGCCAAAUGCAGCAAUUCACAUUAAGCUCCAGGGUAAACUGCAAAGCACAUCCAAGAAAAGGCAACUGGGCCUGAGUGGGCUGGGGAGAAAGCAGCACACAGAGCAGCAAUUAGGAACCUAAACCUAGACAAACCUAGACAAAAUUAUUUUAAAUUCUAGCCUAAGCCAGUAACUGUUUUCACCACUGAGAGUUAUUUUUUAAAAUUUCCUGAAGGAUCUUUUAAAACCCUAAUCCAUGAAAUCCUGGGAUGUUUUAGGUUGAGCAAUCAUGUACUUAAUUCCAGCAAACUGAAAGUGAAUGAAGUGAAACAUCUGAUCACAUCCAGUGCCACAUUUGAUGUAUCAGAGCUGUGUCAAAGUUACAUAUGGAUGACCAUAUUGCCCUGACUAAUCUAAAAACCUACUGGGGUUUGUUUCACACACUGAAAAAUAUAAAAACAAACUUAGGAAAAAGAUGCCAUGAGGGAACCGUUUUUGUUUUCCAUUCACUGCACAUGCAUUUUUACAAAGACACCACAUGGUAAAUGGAUAAGAACAAUUUUCCAUCAUUAAGGAAGCCUUAAACAACCCCUGACUGCUAAUACCAUCAUCUCUUAGGCUUCUACUAAAUUGCAGUUAUUUGUUCAAAACAAAACGAUGAAGCCUGUGAUAUAAUAGAGCAAUUUAAGCAAUGAAGAAUACAACACCUGUAAUUCAAUUUCAUGGCAACUGCUUUCACAACAUGUUUCUAUAACACAGUUAGGAUAUAGGAAACUUCUCUCACUGCAGCAAUUCCUUUUUAAGUAAGCCAGGCUCUCAAGAGAGAAGUGGGCUUUAAGUAGACAAAUACUAUAAACAAUAAGCAAUUUGUAUCCCAUGCCAAUCCUUUCAGGUCUAUCUUCAGUUAGUUGCCACUCUUGAAUUUUGGUUUCUAUUUCAUAUUGAGAGGCUGUUGUCAGAAAAGGUAACAAUAAAAGUCACCCAUGAUCUCUAACCUUGAGAAAGUUUUCAGGCAGAGGAACAUACAAGAGCUUCCCUUCCCAUCCAUCUUUGCUGUAACAGUCACCAUAUACCAAAAAGGGCUGUAAAUCCCAGGCAUAUGACCUUCCCAAGGAGCCAAGGAGGGAGCAGGGGGAAGAUGGGGAUAUCAAUAAUGACUAGUCAGUGCAGGAAGUACAGCAAGCACAUUGUCCCAAGAGGAGAAAUCUCGUAUUAACUCAAAACCUCACAGCUGAACUGCAUCCAACAGCAAAUCUUUCUCAUCCUUCACAGCAAAUGAUGAGGCCACUUGCUAUCCUGUCAGAAAAUUCUUCAGAGUACAAAUUCAUGCAGAUAUCAAAAUCGAAGUUUUCAAGGAGUAACAUCGAUGUUCUCCUUCAUUUAGUAUUGAAUCAUGCCUCCAUGUUCACUUUAUAGACUGAAAUUAGAAAGGAAUCAUACACCAAAUUAGGGAUUUCCUUCUGGGUUUGAUGGCUGGAACAAAUACUAGAGCAAUUGUUUCAGGAAGUCUGUGCAAUGGCAUAGAACAGCCCUGAAGAUUAAAACCUUUCCAUCUUUCCUCCCCAUCUUUCUGUUCCUCAUAAGCCUCCUCCCCCUGCACAGGGACAAGGAUUUGGGCAGAGAUGUGGAUGGAGGUGCUGUGCCAGCCUGAAGUGCCUGCAGCACUGAAAGCUGUCAGUGCAGAACACAAUGGGAUUCCCCACCAAAAAAAAGGCAAGACACUUGCCAUGGAGUAGAUCUGGUGGAAAAGAUCAAGGGCACCCACCUCUAACCUUCAUGAAAUGGAUGUGCAACAAGGACACAGUUGUGUCUCAGUGAUUGUAGGCUGAAAAACGCUCCUCUGUUCAAGAUAAAAAGAAAUAUUCCUACUGAUGCAAUGUGUAUCUGGUCAUAAAUCACUCCCUGUCAAUCAGCUCUGCUUGAACCUCAGAUCAGCAGGACAAGAAAUCCACCUCAAGUCCCAUUCUAUGCUAUCCUCUCUACCCUUAAAGCACAAAACCAGCAUAAUCAAAAUGGUUUAGCAGCUCCUGCUGCAUUUCCUGUCUGUUCAUACUUUUAUUUUCUUUCAUUUUAAACAGAAAAGCUGCUGCUUGGAGCAUGAACCAUUCAAUUCUGCAAUUCUUCAUCAACAACCAUUCUACCUACACUGAUACUCCCACCAUGAAAGGAAAACAGAUAAAAUCACCUGAACUCAGAGUAUUAGUAUUAGGAAACCCAUAUAAGAAUGGCUCUUUGGUUCUCCCUGCUUAAUUUCUGCAUUGCAAGGCAUCAAAAUAGGUUGAUAGGCUGAAAAUACAAGAAGAUCCCAAUCUCUCCAUCCACUUCAAGAAAACAUUGAGAUAAUGAAAGGUGUUGUACUGACCUCUAUAAUUAGGAAGCAAAAAAUUAAGCACCUCUUUAUUUAGAUUAGCUACCCACAAGGAAAUAAUUUCUGGAAGUGUACACAUAGAAAAUAAGAGUCAACUGAACUAAUUUCAUCCCCUCUAACCCUUGUUUUGGUUGCUUCCACAUGCUGCAUCUGGUUGUGUAUCAAAGGUUCAGCAGGGCUGUUCUUUAAACUCAACAGGAGACCCGUAGCUCUUUUUGUCUGAAAAUAUUCAAUCUGUACUCAUCAGUGACUUCUUCCCAUACACCAUUAAUUAGCUCUGCAUGCUGCCUGCCAUUAGAAACAUGAAGAAAACUCCAAAUGAACAUGUGCACUGCUCCUAACAAAAUGAGACUGACACAAGUGGCACCUUUCUGUACUGUGGAUGCAAAAUACAAAUCAGGACUAAAAUUGGGUGUUUUGGGGAGGAAAAUGUGACUUCACAGAGGUAAAACUGCAAGUUACAACAGCACACCUGAUUUUUAAAUAAUUUUGGUAAUAAAACACAUGUUUUUAAGAGUGUCAGAGUGGAAAAAUGGAGUGUGAUGUUCAUUGGGAACUCAGGAGGAAACUGGAGUCCAUUCUCUGUUCUACUUAAGAACAGAGGCUCAUCACACAUUUACCCACCUGCAGGGGUCACAGAACCACAGAAUGGGCUUGGUUGGAAGGGACCUUAAAGAUAUUUGGUUCUGACCCCCCCCUGCCAUGCACAGGGACACCUUCCUCCAGACCAGGUUUCUCAGAGCUCCAUCCAAAGUGAUUAUUGAGGAGUUGGUGGAGAAAAACCACCCUGUCUAGUGUACAUUUCAUUAUAUCUUAAGACAGAAGUAAAAGAUAAAGAAUUCCACUGCAUAGAGGUGCCUUUAUUUUCAAUGUU
Molecule: long non-coding RNA, 4273 nt
Filed under: Taeniopygia guttata (zebra finch)
Lineage: Eukaryota; Metazoa; Chordata; Aves; Passeriformes; Estrildidae
Description: lncRNA (ENSTGUG00000023178.1)
Source: RNAcentral